ACCCUAAACUUUUUCCUCUUCUCUCGCUUUCAAUUUUUCUCUCUUCUAUUCAAAUUAGAACCCUAAAUCUCAUUUGUCCUCCAACAACAACAUCUCGUAUUGUAAACUGAGGCUUGCAUCGACAGUAUCUCUACAUCUCUGAGCAGAGUUGGUGGUGAUUGCAAAUUGAGAGUUGGCGAAGUCUAGGGUUGCAGCCAAGAACUAGGAGAUUCACCUCAUUUUCAUAUUUUACCUAAUACAAUUACUCAUUGAGUUGGUUUCACUACACUCCUUCCUUUAUACUCAUCAUUUAUGCAAUCUGUGUUAGUAUUUUAUAAUCAUUACUCAAACAAAAAAUAGAAUUACUCAUUGAGUUGGUUCAAUGUGAAAAUAAGGUAUGGCUGCAGAUGUGUUGACAAAAUCAUUGAAGUUGAAAGGUUUCUAGAAACUUCCUCUGCGACUUGGGUAGGUAAUUGAUGUAGACUAAUUGCACCAAAGUCAUCAGUUUAUGGCAUUGUAGGCGAGAGGUAAGAGUCGGCAAAGUUUAUUUUCAUUCAUAUAACAUUGAGCAUAUCGAUAUAUAGUGCUUCCGUUCUGCAGAAACUUUUCACUGUAAGUAAAACUCUAUCUCGAUAAAUCAAAACUCGUUAAAAAUCAAGAGAUCGGUUUAAUUUUAUUGAAAAUUUUGAUCUUCAUUGAACUUGCCUAAAUGUAUAAAGUUCUUUUGGUGGAUAUAGGAGAUAAUUUCUACUGGUUUAUUCAUUCUGCAAAAUAAAGCAGUGGUAAAGUUUUAAUUUAGGUUCUACGCUUAAAACAGUUUUGUAAUGGGGUUGCAACAAGAUAUAUGACAUGUUGAUUUGGAAAACAUGAUCAACAUCAAAGAGGUGUAGCAAAUGGAAUUUGCAUAACUGCUAUGCAGCAUGCAAAGUAAUUGGCCCUGCAGCAGGUAGUGCAAUAACAAAUGAGAAAGGAGGCUAACAUUAAAGAUAAAUAUGAAAUCUCAUGACAAGGGUCAAAGCUUCUAAAUGAGCUGCCCCCUCAGUGAGCUGCAUUUCAAUGUUAAUCUUAUCAUAACAAAGCUUCUAAAUGAGCUAUCCCCUCAGUGCUUGGUUCACUUGUUUAUUAAUCUAGCUGAAUGUCAUUGGCUUGGCAGGCUAUGAAGGUUGAUUCAACAAUAAUUCUCAUCAAUGAAGAUGGAAACUAGUGUCAAAACAAUUGGUGCUGUUGGAUUUUGGCAAGAGAACAAUGCUGCUGAACUGAAAAGGCCAUUGAAGCUCUUGAAAGUGUUGCAUAGUAAAUUUAGAAAAGUUCUCAUAAUUGACGCUGUUAUUCAUGUUUAUAGUAUUAUUAAUUAUUUUAUGUCUCAUGUUGGGUACAAAUUGUAAUACCGCCACACACAUAUUGUAAGAAUUUGGACCUAUUUUUCUGUAUUACUAAUAUAUGCAAUUUGAUUUCUA
Trifolium pratense (red clover) is the source of this 1436-nucleotide long non-coding RNA. RefSeq lists it as uncharacterized. Lineage: Eukaryota; Viridiplantae; Streptophyta; Magnoliopsida; Fabales; Fabaceae. The transcript is spliced from 3 exons. The record is from RefSeq and is a predicted model, not a curated record.